RNAcentral lists this ribosomal RNA (301 nucleotides) under uncultured bacterium. RNAcentral describes it as "partial 16S ribosomal RNA". It matches the Rfam family "Bacterial small subunit ribosomal RNA", at positions 509 to 809 of the family's 1533-position model. The record is from RNAcentral.
CAGUCGCCGCGGUAAAACGUAGGGUGCAAGCGUUAAUCGGAAUUACUGGGCGUAAAGCGUGCGCAGGCGGUUAUAUAAGACAGAUGUGAAAUCCCCGGGCUCAACCUGGGAACUGCAUUUGUGACUGUAUAGCUAGAGUACGGCAGAGGGGGAUGGAAUUCCGCGUGUAGCAGUGAAAUGCGUAGAUAUGCGGAGGAACACCGAUGGCGAAGGCAAUCCCCUGGGCCUGUACUGACGCUCAUGCACGAAAGCGUGGGGAGCAAACAGGAUUAGAUACCCCUGUAGUCCCUGUCUCUUAUAA